GAUGAACGCUGGCGGCGUGCCUAAUACAUGCAAGUCGAGCGAAUGGAUUAAGAGCUUGCUCUUAUGAAGUUAGCGGCGGACGGGUGAGUAACACGUGGGUAACCUGCCCAUAAGACUGGGAUAACUCCGGGAAACCGGGGCGAAUACCGGAUAACAUUUUGAACCGCAUGGUUCGAACUUGAAAGGCGGCUUCGGCUGUCACUUAUGGAUGGACCCGCGUCGCAUUAGCUAGUUGGUGAGGUAACGGCUCACCAAGGCAACGAUGCGUAGCCGACCUGAGAGGGUGAUCGGCCACACUGGGACUGAGACACGGCCCAGACUCCUACGGGAGGCAGCAGUAGGGAAUCUUCCGCAAUGGACGAAAGUCUGACGGAGCAACGCCGCGUGAGUGAUGAAGGCUUUCGGGUCGUAAAACUCUGUUGUUAGGGAAGAACAAGUGCUAGUUGAAUAAGCUGGCACCUUGACGGUACCUAACCAGAAAGCCACGGCUAACUACGUGCCAGCCGCCGCUGUAA
RNAcentral lists this ribosomal RNA (515 nucleotides) under uncultured bacterium. RNAcentral's name for it is "partial 16S ribosomal RNA". It matches the Rfam family "Bacterial small subunit ribosomal RNA", at positions 28 to 523 of the family's 1533-position model. The record is from RNAcentral.